This 90-nucleotide small nuclear RNA is filed under the name Neotoma lepida (desert woodrat). RNAcentral describes it as "U2 spliceosomal RNA". It matches the Rfam family "U2 spliceosomal RNA". From Rfam's summary of the family: U2 is a small nuclear RNA (snRNA) component of the spliceosome (involved in pre-mRNA splicing). Complementary binding between U2 snRNA (in an area lying towards the 5' end but 3' to hairpin I) and the branchpoint sequence (BPS) of the intron results the bulging out of an unpaired adenosine, on the BPS, which initiates a nucleophilic attack at the intronic 5' splice site, thus starting the first of two transesterification reactions that mediate splicing. The record is from Rfam by way of RNAcentral. Lineage: Eukaryota; Metazoa; Chordata; Mammalia; Rodentia; Cricetidae.
UGUGCUUCUCGGCCUUUUGGUUAAGAUCAAGUGUAGUAUCUGUUCUUAUCAAUUUUAGUUACUUUUUAAUAUUAAUUUUAAGCAUCCUUA